This 252-nucleotide ribosomal RNA is filed under the name uncultured bacterium. RNAcentral's name for it is "partial 16S ribosomal RNA". It matches the Rfam family "Bacterial small subunit ribosomal RNA", at positions 524 to 776 of the family's 1533-position model. The record is from RNAcentral.
UACGUAGGGUGCAAGCGUUAUCCGGAAUUAUUGGGCGUAAAGAGCUCGUAGGCGGUUUGUCGCGUCUGCUGUGAAAACUGGGGCUCAACCCCCAGCCUGCAGUGGGUACGGGCAGACUAGAGUGCGGUAGGGGAGAUUGGAAUUCCUGGUGUAGCGGUAGAAUGCGCAGAUAUCAGGAGGAACACCGAUGGCGAAGGCAGAUCUCUGGGCCGUAACUGACGCUGAGGAGCGAAAGCAUGGGGAGCGAACAGG